GAAAGGUGAAAAGAACCCCGGUAAGGGGAGUGAAAAGAACAUGAAACCAUAAACUUACAAGCAGUAGGAGGACGACUAAAACGUCUGACUGCGUGCCUGUUGAAGAAUGAGCCGGCGACUUAUAGGUAGUGGCAGGUUAAGACAGUGAAUGUUGGAGCCAUAGUGAAAGCGAGCCUGAAUAGGGCGUUUGUCACUAGUUAUAGACCCGAACCCGGAUGAUCUAACCAUGGUCAGGUUGAAGCUCAGGUAAUACUGAGUGGAGGACCGAACCGACUGAUGUUGAAAAA
This 287-nucleotide ribosomal RNA is filed under the name Rhodella violacea. Its description in RNAcentral is "partial Bacterial large subunit ribosomal RNA". It matches the Rfam family "Bacterial large subunit ribosomal RNA", at positions 509 to 796 of the family's 2925-position model. The record is from RNAcentral. Lineage: Eukaryota; Rhodophyta; Rhodellophyceae; Rhodellales; Rhodellaceae.